CUUACUAACGAUCUGUGUUUCCAAUGCACAGGAGCAGUUCUGUUCAUCCCUGUCACUCAGGGGCCCAGACUGAUGGAGGGAUCCUCUAACACUUGCUUCCAGGAUUGCUGUGGCAGCAGGAAUAUUUGGAAACUGUGACUCUGCCCUCACCAGGAGUUUGGGCAAAUGAUCUGGGUGUUGGAAGUCACUCUGCUGCUGUGUGGAGAAGAGGCUGGAGGAUGGGAAGCGAAAGGACCCGUGAGAGGCGACCACAGUAGUCCAGGCAAGAAACGGUGGCUUCUGCGAGAGCGGCGGCGGUGCUGGUGGGGACAAGGGCGCGGAUUUGGAAUAGCCCAACAUUUCCCACUUAACUUCAUUAAUUUGUUCUUGAAAAUCAGACGUUCUGCACAAAAACGCUGACAGCCUGUUUUCCAUUGUUUGUAAAUGAAAAAAAGUUACACCACAUUGCACAGCAACGCAUAACCCACCAGCUUCCUAAAACACGACUGAGGCACAGUGAGGUGUCUGCAUGGAAGCAACGAACUGUAAUGUCGGGACGUAAAAUGUUUAAACAUCAUUUCCUGAUCUCCUAAUUUGUUGUUGUAUGUCAUAUGUUAAUUUUAUUUGUAGGCAGUAACAUGUACAGUUUAUAUGCUUUUGACAUAAACAUUUUGUUUACAAUGGGCCAUGAUAAAUAACACACAGCAAUGGGUUCAUUGGUUGGAAAAAAUGCAGACAGAAAUUUCCAAUACAAAAUAAGGCUAUUUCCUGUAAUGAAGCAACAGCUUGCCCUAUUCGAAGCUUCCAGGGAUUAGGGUGUAGACAUCCCUGGGGCCAUUAUUCCAUCUCCUAUGAUUCUGAAAAUGCUGGCAGGAUGAAUGAAGAAAACAUGAGCUCUUUGUGAUGGUACUGAGCUGCAGAACCUGGGGUCUCUUACCUCUGAAUUUCUUAGUAUAUGAAAUAAUAAAUUUCCAAAUUGUUUAAGCCAAAUAUAUAUAGUUAGUUAGUUAGUUAGUUAGUUAGUUAGUUAACUUUGUGGUUUUCCAAUUGAUAUUAGCGACACUGUCAUGCUAUAUAAUUUUAUACCCUUGAUAAUUGUCAUACUAAAUUAAGAAUGCCACUUGUGAAUGCCAAAGUACCAGACUACAAAUUCAGGUGAGUUACAGCAAAGGGCCCAGAUAAACAAGGAAAAAAAUGCUGGUCUAUGGACAAUCUACCAAAUUAUAUGAUCACUGCUUUGAAGCAUUUAAAAUUAACCUUUGUUAUUAAAGACUUCCUGUAUAUAUUUAAAAGGAAAAAUGCAGCCUUUGGCUAGUCCACGCUAUUUUAAUGUGAAAAUAUAAUAUGCCAGCUUUUUCUAAAUUUUCUCUAGAACAACUCGAUGUCUCAGGGGUUCUUAUUAAUAAAACAUUAUGUUGCUUUAAGCAGAAAGGGGCCCUGGGGAGUGGCCCUGAAUAUAGGAAAAAGGCCAGGAAAGUUCAGAGUCUGGUUGCUCAAAAAGAGGACGAAAAGAGCCUGUAAGUAGGAAAAUAAGAAUCACGGGGGGGAAAUGCAACGGCGUCUUUUUCUUUAAUCUCCCUGUCUUUCUGUUUCUCAUAUGACCUAACACAGGGUUUGCCACAAUAGGCUGUCAAUAAACGGAACAGAUAAUGAAUAACGAAUGAACAAAUGAAAACACAAAUGAUUGAACAGGAGGCCUCAUCAUUUGGGAUCGUUUCUACAAAGGGUAAUAAAGAAAAUAUGAGGUAUUA
Long non-coding RNA from Galeopterus variegatus (Sunda flying lemur), 1730 nucleotides. RefSeq lists it as uncharacterized. The transcript has 3 exons. The record is from RefSeq and is a predicted model, not a curated record. Lineage: Eukaryota; Metazoa; Chordata; Mammalia; Dermoptera; Cynocephalidae.